This 218-nucleotide long non-coding RNA is filed under the name Hordeum vulgare. RNAcentral describes it as "long non-coding RNA (HVUL_LNC009027)". The record is from RNAcentral. Lineage: Eukaryota; Viridiplantae; Streptophyta; Magnoliopsida; Poales; Poaceae.
UAUUUACAUUACACACAUGAUGAUAUCAUGAUUUUGUUAGGUCCAUUGUACGUACUUGCUAGUGAUUAAAGUUGUUUAGGUGAUCGGACCAUGUGGUUUCCAAAGGGACUUGUCUUUUGAACUUGGGUGAGCACAACCUGAGCUGCUUCAAAAUGAAGGGCUUUGCUUCAUUAAUUAAAAACAACCACCCCAGAUCCUCCCAGUCCUCGCCGCUAGUC